UCGCGCGGCGCGGAGGGAGCGGG
Molecule: microRNA, 23 nt
Filed under: Gallus gallus (chicken)
Lineage: Eukaryota; Metazoa; Chordata; Aves; Galliformes; Phasianidae
Description: gga-miR-7455-5p
Source: miRBase by way of RNAcentral